GAUGAACGCUGGCGGCAUGCCUAAUACAUGCAAGUCGAACGGGUAGCGGACGGGCGAAUAAGGUCUGGGAACCUGCCCGACGGAGGGGGCUAACUAGUGGAAACGGUAGCUAAUACUGCAUACCAUCCGAUGUGCCCAGAGGGGAUGAGCUAGGUGGUGGGGUAACGGCUCACCUAGGCGACGAUGCCUAGCUGGUCUGAGAGGAUGACCGGCCACACUGGAACUGAGACACGGGCCAGACUCCUACGGGAGGCAGCAGUAGGGAAUAUUCCACAAUGGGCGAAAGCCUGAUGGAGCCACGCCGCGUGAGUGAAGAAGGCCUUCGGAUUGUAAAACACUGUCAGUAGGGAAGCGGUACCCACACAGAAAGCCCCGGCUAACUCCGUGCCAGCCGCCGCGGUAAUAC
This 406-nucleotide ribosomal RNA is filed under the name uncultured bacterium. Its description in RNAcentral is "partial 16S ribosomal RNA". It matches the Rfam family "Bacterial small subunit ribosomal RNA", at positions 28 to 526 of the family's 1533-position model. The record is from RNAcentral.